GAUGAACGCUGGCGGCGUGCCUAAUACAUGCAAGUCGAGCGAACGGACGAGAAGCUUGCUUUUCUGAUGUUAGCGGCGGACGGGUGAGUAACACGUGGAUAACCUACCUAUAAGACUGGGAUAACUUCGGGAAACCGGAGCUAAUACCGGAUAAUAUUUUGAACCGCAUGGUUCAAAAGUGAAAGACGGUCUUGCUGUCACUUAUAGAUGGAUCCGCGCUGCAUUAGCUAGUUGGUAAGGUAACGGCUUACCAAGGCAACGAUGCAUAGCCGACCUGAGAGGGUGAUCGGCCACACGGGAACUGAGACACGGUCCAGACUCCUACGGGAGGCAGCAGUAGGGAAUCUUCCGCAAUGGGCGAAAGCCUGACGGAGCAACGCCGCGUGAGUGAUGAAGGUCUUCGGAUCGUAGAACUCUGUUAUUAGGGAAGAACAUAUGUGUAAGUAACUGUGCACAUCUUGACGGUACCUAAUCAGAAAGCCACGGCUAACUACGUG
This 497-nucleotide ribosomal RNA is filed under the name uncultured bacterium. Its description in RNAcentral is "partial 16S ribosomal RNA". It matches the Rfam family "Bacterial small subunit ribosomal RNA", at positions 28 to 507 of the family's 1533-position model. The record is from RNAcentral.